UCAACUAAAAGAAAGAACCAAGUGUUACCGAUUCUUGAAGAUUCAUGCUGGAUGGAUGAUGAAAACUAAGUGCAAAUGGUGACCGAUCACAACCCCAAACUUAUCUCAUUGCUUAUCCUCAAGUGAUGUAAGAGACAACACAGAGGUCAACCAUGGAUUUUCUUCUUUCCACAAUACAACUGAUGAUAUUCGCAACUUAUCUUCCUCCUUCCCGAUUAAACUUCUGGUUCACCCAUUCGAACUAUCCACUGCAUUAUCAUAUCAGAGUGCUCCUUUACCUGCAAACUUCUACACACCACUCACUAAAUCUCUCGGGGUUUAAGUGUUUAGCACUCAUGAUACCAAGGUAUGCAAUAUCAACUCUUAAUUUUUGAAUAGAUUCUACGUUCACUACACAAACCAAAUUCACACACUUUUAGAGGUCUUUCGGGUUGUAACGGGGCUUAGGUACGGUGGGGAUAAACAAGAAAAUGGAUGACAAAGGUUUAAAACUCGGCAUUCAUGUUGUUGCUAUUCUUUGUGCUCAAAUUAUUUUAUGGGGUGUUGUCCAACUUGACUUUUCCACUCAAGUUUUCUUUUGAGUAUCACAUUAAUGCAUGAGUCUUUGACUUAGGCAAGUGCUUAUGCCUCAUUUCUGUUUUUCAUUUCUUUUCUAUUUUUUUUUGGUAGAAGCGGA
Molecule: long non-coding RNA, 676 nt
Filed under: Lathyrus oleraceus (garden pea)
Lineage: Eukaryota; Viridiplantae; Streptophyta; Magnoliopsida; Fabales; Fabaceae
Description: Pisum sativum (pea) long non-coding RNA (PSAT_LNC005789)
Source: RNAcentral